UACGUUUCGGAGUAUAACUCCAUCUUCAGGUUAAAAAGUAACUAAAGAUAUCAUAUCUUUAGUUACUUUUUAACCUGAAGAUGGAGUUAUACUCCGAAACGUA
This is a non-coding RNA of Paramuricea clavata, 103 nucleotides long. The record is from the annotation of a GenBank genome assembly. NCBI's taxonomy places the organism in Eukaryota, Metazoa, Cnidaria, Anthozoa, Malacalcyonacea, Plexauridae.